Myotis davidii is the source of this 75-nucleotide non-coding RNA. NCBI's taxonomy places the organism in Eukaryota, Metazoa, Chordata, Mammalia, Chiroptera, Vespertilionidae. The record is from Rfam.
GGCAGUUCUCAGGGGCCACACCUCGGAAUCGGGCUUCCUCCUUUCUGGUUCCUGGUGCUUCACCCGAGAACUGCA